UUCUCCAGUAGCAGAACACAUGAAUGUUUGGGCUUUAAAAAUCCAUUGUUUGCCUGCAUGCUAUCCGAUUGAAAUACUGUGUGUCCAACCUUCACUUACAAAUGUCUAAAAACAUCUGUUUUAAAGACCUUUUCGGAUCCUCUUGUUUUGUCAGAUAAAUAGUUUCAAAAAUUUGAAGGCUGGAAUUUUGGAGUAUUGUCAAAUCCUU
RNAcentral lists this long non-coding RNA (208 nucleotides) under Mytilus galloprovincialis (Mediterranean mussel). The record is from RNAcentral. Lineage: Eukaryota; Metazoa; Mollusca; Bivalvia; Mytilida; Mytilidae.